This 454-nucleotide ribosomal RNA is filed under the name uncultured Bacillota bacterium. Its description in RNAcentral is "bacterial SSU rRNA". It matches the Rfam family "Bacterial small subunit ribosomal RNA", at positions 1061 to 1501 of the family's 1533-position model. Lineage: Bacteria; Bacillati; Bacillota. The record is from RNAcentral.
AGUGUCGGUGGAGAUGUUGGGGUUAAGUCCCGCANACGAGCGCAACCCNUAUGAUGUAUAGUUGCCAGCAUUUAGUUGGGCACUACUAAGGUGAANGCCGGUGACAAACCGGAGGAAGGUGGGGAUGACAGUCAAAUCAAUCAUGCCCCUUAUGACCUGGGCUACACACGUGCUACAAUGGAUGGUACAAAGGGCUGCAAGACCGCGAGGUUUAGCCAAUCCCAUAAAACCAUUCUCAGUUCGGAUUGCAGGCUGCAACUCGCCUGCAUGAAGCUGGAAUCGCUAGUAAUCGCGGAUCAGCAUGCCGCGGUGAAUACGUUCCCGGGCCUUGUACACACCGCCCGUCACACCACGAGAGUUUGCAACACCCGAAGUCGGUGGGGUACCCCUUCACGGGAGGCCAGCCGCCGAACGGUGGGGCAGAUGAUUGGGGUGAAGUCGUAACAAGGUAGCC